RNAcentral lists this long non-coding RNA (203 nucleotides) under Lathyrus oleraceus (garden pea). Its description in RNAcentral is "Pisum sativum (pea) long non-coding RNA (PSAT_LNC038153)". Lineage: Eukaryota; Viridiplantae; Streptophyta; Magnoliopsida; Fabales; Fabaceae. The record is from RNAcentral.
GGUAAUAGAUAAUAUAUCUCAUGUGCUCUUCAUUCGAAGUCUUUUUCUUCCCCAGUUGAGUAAGAUUCAUAUUUCCUUAUGGAAUCGAAUGCCCAUUCUGUGAUCGAGUUUGCUUUUUCAGCCCUCCUUUUAGAUGAUGAGUGUCUUGGAAAUAUUCCCCAAUUCACGCCUGGUUGGUCACCUAUUAUAUGCCUAGUAACCGG